GAGGAAAGAGGGAGGCGUGCCUAAUACAUGCAAGUCGAGCGAACAGACGAGGAGCUUGCUCCUCUGACGUUAGCGGCGGACGGGUGAGUAACACGUGUAUAACCUACCUAUAAGACUGGGAUAACUUCGGGAAACCGGAUCUAAUACCGGAUAAUAUAUUGAACCGCAUGGUUCAAUAGUGAAAGACGGUUUUGCUGUCACUUAUAGAUGGAUCCGCGCCGCAUUAGCUAGUUGGUAAGGUAACGGCUUACCAAGGCAACGAUGCGUAGCCGACCUGAGAGGGUGAUAGGCCACACUGGAACUGAGACACGGUCCAGACUCCUACGGGAGGCAGCAGUAGGGAAUCUUCCGCAAUGGGCGAAAGCCUGACGGAGCAACGCCGCGUGAGUGAUGAAGGUCUUCGGAUCGUAAAACUCUGUUAUUAGGGAAGAACAAAUGUGUAAGUAACUAUGCACGUCUUGACGGUAACUAAUCAGAAAGCAACGGCUAACUACGUG
Molecule: ribosomal RNA, 497 nt
Filed under: uncultured bacterium
Lineage: Bacteria
Description: partial 16S ribosomal RNA
Rfam family: Bacterial small subunit ribosomal RNA
Source: RNAcentral